AACGGCCAUACCAUGCUGAAUAUACCGGUUCUCGUUAGAUCACCGAAGUCAAGCAUCAUUGGGCGCGGUCAGUACUAGGAUGGGUGACCACCUGGGAACACCGCGUGCCGUU
RNAcentral lists this ribosomal RNA (112 nucleotides) under Caerostris extrusa. The record is from RNAcentral. Lineage: Eukaryota; Metazoa; Arthropoda; Arachnida; Araneae; Araneidae.